RNAcentral lists this ribosomal RNA (707 nucleotides) under uncultured bacterium. Its description in RNAcentral is "bacterial SSU rRNA". It matches the Rfam family "Bacterial small subunit ribosomal RNA", at positions 59 to 742 of the family's 1533-position model. The record is from RNAcentral.
CAGUCGUACGAGAAAGUCGGCUUCGGCCGAUGAGUACAGUGGCGCACGGGUGAGUAACGCGUGGGUAAUCUACCCCUCGGUCAGGAAUAACCCGCCGAAAGGCGGGCUAAUACCCGAUAACACUGACGCUCUGCGGAGUGUCUUUCAAAGAAGGCCUCUGUUUACAAGCUUUCGCCGGAGGAUGAGCCCGCGUACCAUUAGCUAGUUGGUAGGGUAAUGGCCUACCAAGGCAACGAUGGUUAGCUGGUCUGGGAGGAUGGCCAGCCACACUGGAACUGAGACACGGUCCAGACUCCUACGGGAGGCAGCAGUGAGGAAUCUUGCGCAAUGGGGGAAACCCUGACGCAGCAACGCCGCGUGAGUGAGGAAGGCCUUCGGGUCGUAAAGCUCUGUCAGAUGGGAAGAAAUGGGUGGGGGCUAAUAUCGUCCACCCUUGACGGUACCAUCAGAGGAAGCACCGGCUAACUCCGUGCCAGCAGCCGCGGUAAUACGGGGGGUGCAAGCGUUGUUCGGAAUCAUUGGGCGUAAAGCGCGCGCAGGCGGCUUGGUAAGUCAGAUGUGAAAUCCCUGGGCUUAACCCAGGAAGUGCAUUUGAUACUGCCUCGCUAGAGUACGGGAGAGGAAAGUGGAAUUCCUGGUGUAGAGGUGAAAUUCGUAGAUAUCAGGAGGAACACCGGUGGCGAAGGCGACUUUCUGGCCCGAUACUG